UACAAUGCUUCGGAAAUGAAGGGUCGAUUCCUGUAGGUAUUAAUUAAGAGCACGCCACAGUUAACAAUUCAUAAGAAACGGACGUGCAUAUUUGGGCGAUAAUCGUAGCGUCUGCUUGGACUGGAAGCAGGCUAGGCAUCGAUAAAUAGCUCUCUGUAGUCGUAUAGUAUAAGAUUAGUGUAACCGUGAGUCGCCUUCUCUAAAUCGAAUCCCUUGAACAAACGGGUGCACAUUAGGCAAGUGGCGACACCGGUCGCUUUAAAUUACUACUUGCAUAACUAGUUAGGUUACACCCGCCUUACUGCUGGAGAGCGGCUGAUUGGACAUUAGUCGUCGUAAACGGUUGUAUUUGAUUGGAGGAAGGGUAUGUUUUUACCGGAUACAUCAACGCGUACGUUCGUGGUGUCCUUGCCAUCUCGAAAAGAAAAAUAUAGCCGCCACCCCAAGACGGUGUAAAUAUUUGAUUGAAAACAGCCAUUAAGUGCAAGUUAUUUAUUUUUUCAGUGUCAGAAAACAAUUCAGCAAACAUAUGUCAAACCCUACAUGCCAGCCAGAUCCCUCCGUUCUGCUACCUCAGGACGCCUGGCACCUCCCCCUCUUCACACCUGCGCUUCCAGAACACGUCUCCUGUCUGUUCUGGCCCCACGAUGGUGGAAUGACCUCCCCGUGGAGGUCAGAACAGCUGAGACACUGACCCAUUUCAAGCGACGACUGAAGACUCACCUCUUCAGGCUGCACCUUUCCCCAUCCCUCCCUACCUCCCUGUAAUCUCUUAAAUGACUGUAAGCUUAGGGUUGUAACUAGGUAGCUGUUUCGUAGGUGACUUAGUUAAUGCACCUGUCUUAACUACUGCUUGUAUUUUUCCAUAGACUGCGUUGUUGCUGUUCUCGGUGGGUUAGUGUUAAUCAGUUUAACCUUCAGGGUCCAAGUUGAACUAUGCGGUUGUUCCCUGCACUUGGACCGGUACUUCUCUCUAGGGUUUUCGUCAUACGUGUUCCUGGUUAUGGUUAUACACUUUGUUGUACGUCGCUCUGGAUAAGAGCGUCUGCCAAAUGCCUGUAAUGUAAUGUAAUAUGUUUAACACAAACUUACACAAAAAACCUCAUCAACUAUGUACAUCAAAUCAUUCAGUAUUUAGAGUGUCCACCCUUUGCCUUUAUUACAGCUUCCAUUCUUUCGGGAGACUUACUUUGAGUUUUUCAAGGAAAUCUGGAGGAAUAUUUUUCCAUGCUUCUUGUAAACACCUCCAAGAAGUCUUAGAAGUUGGUUGCAUUUUCUGCUUUGCUCGGCCCAAGUAAUCACAAACACAUUCAGUGAUGUUGAGGUCUGGACUCUGGGGUGGUCAGUCCAUUGUUCUGAGAAUACAGCUUGAUCUUCUUGGCUGUGUGCUUGGGGUCAUUAUCUUGCUGUAGAAUAGAUUUUCUCGCAAUCAAACAUUGUCCAGAGGGUAUUGCAUGAUAUGUUAAGAUUUGUUUGUAUUUAUCAACAUUAAUGUUUUUCUCUUUUUUUAAUGUAAAGAUUCCAACAUAACGUCAUUGAAACGUUUGGUUUGUUGACUGGAAGGAUGGAAAAGCUGUUGUAGGGUGCCCAAAAGAAAAGUGGGCGAAUACAGAUAGAUUUGAUAUUAUACAGUAUGUAGUGGUGGAGGCUUUUCUGUAAUUUUAUGUUAAAUAUGUUAAUGUUUAGCAUUAUUGUUUGACACUGAAAUAAAACUGAAUGGCCAAUUUGCCUGGUAAUUGAAUAAAUGAAAGAGUGGUCUCUGACUUUUGCACGCAGUACACACACACAGACACACACACACAGAAAAAUAUCCAUCCUGGUCGAGGAAACACAUAUUACACCAUCAGCACAAUUUGUCUAAGUUUAUACAAUUGACAUUGUGAUGUACGACGCAGUAGCAUCUUGCCUGGUUCGAGGAAGUUGAUCCUGCUGGCUUUAAGCCCCAAAGCAAGUUUUUACAAUUCAUGUCACUGCACUGAUUUCAUUAAAGUGACUGUCAGAUCAGUUGAUUGAUCAGAUGAUACAAACUGUACUUUACAUUUAUGAUUGGCUUGAGAGAAUUGGGUUGAUUGCGAGGGCCAACAGGUUACCAUGGUAACGGGAUAUUCACUGCAGAUGUUUGCCUUGCCACUAUUAGGUUCUGUUCUGCUCUGUUCUGUGGCUCACUGAGCUGAGGUUUAUGCACUCUACACUUCAUCUUCCUAAUAAUGGGAAUUUGUCAUCCAUGUUAGGUGUUGUAUGAUGGCAUGUACCGUAUGCCAUAAAAUGCCUUCACACAA
Molecule: long non-coding RNA, 2279 nt
Organism: Anguilla rostrata (American eel)
Lineage: Eukaryota; Metazoa; Chordata; Actinopteri; Anguilliformes; Anguillidae
Exons: 2
Source: RefSeq, a predicted model, not a curated record